Molecule: ribosomal RNA, 400 nt
Filed under: uncultured Streptococcus sp.
Lineage: Bacteria; Bacillati; Bacillota; Bacilli; Lactobacillales; Streptococcaceae
Description: bacterial SSU rRNA
Rfam family: Bacterial small subunit ribosomal RNA
Source: RNAcentral
UAGGGAAUCUUCGGCAAUGGGGGCAACCCUGACCGAGCAACGCCGCGUGAGUGAAGAAGGUUUUCGGAUCGUAAAGCUCUGUUGUAAGAGAAGAACGUGUGUGAGAGUGGAAAGUUCACACAGUGACGGUAACUUACCAGAAAGGGACGGCUAACUACGUGCCAGCAGCCGCGGUAAUACGGAAGGUCCGGGCGUUAUCCGGAUUUAUUGGGUUUAAAGGGAGCGUAGGCCGGAGAUUAAGCGUGUUGUGAAAUGUAGUGGCUCAACCUCUGCACUGCAGCGCGAACUGGUCUUCUUGAGUACGCACAACGUGGGCGGAAUUCGUGGUGUAGUGGUGAAAUGCUUAGAUAUCACGAAGACUCCGAUUGCGAAGGCAGCUCGACGGGAGCGCAACUGACGC